UGAGGAAUAUUGGUCAAUGGGCGAGAGCCUGAACCAGCCAAGUAGCGUGCAGGAUGACGGCCCUACGGGUUGUAAACUGCUUUUAUGCGGGAAUAAAGAUAUCUACGUGUAGAUAGUUGCAUGUACCGCAUGAAUAAGGACCGGCUAAUUCCGUGCCAGCAGCCGCGGUAAUACGGAAGGUCCGGGCGUUAUCCGGAUUUAUUGGGUUUAAAGGGAGCGUAAGCGGCCUUUUAAGCGUGCUGUGAAAUGUACCGGCUCAACCGGUGAAUUGCAGCGCGAACUGGAGGGCUUGAGUUCGCGGAAGGCAGGCGGAAUUCGUGGUGUAGCGGUGAAAUGCUUAGAUAUCACGAAGAACUCCGAUUGCGAAGGCAGCUUGCCGCAGCGGUACUGACGCUGAAGCUCGAAGGUGCGGGUAUCGAACAGG
RNAcentral lists this ribosomal RNA (424 nucleotides) under uncultured prokaryote. Its description in RNAcentral is "bacterial SSU rRNA". It matches the Rfam family "Bacterial small subunit ribosomal RNA", at positions 355 to 776 of the family's 1533-position model. RNAcentral also lists the same sequence under 1 other name. The record is from RNAcentral.